UACGGAGGGUGCGAGCGUUGUCCGGAAUCACUGGGCGUAAAGGGCGCGUAGGCGGCGCGGGAAGUCAUCGGUGAAAGCUCAGGGCUCAACUCUGAGUCGGCCGGUGAUACUCUCGUGCUUGAGCACUGUAGAGGCAGGUGGAAUUCCGGGUGUAGCGGUGGAAUGCGUAGAGAUCCGGAAGAACACCGGUGGCGAAGGCGACACGCUGGGCCGUACCUGACGCUAAAGCGCGACAGCAUGGGGAGCAAACGGG
This 253-nucleotide ribosomal RNA is filed under the name uncultured bacterium. Its description in RNAcentral is "partial 16S ribosomal RNA". It matches the Rfam family "Bacterial small subunit ribosomal RNA", at positions 524 to 776 of the family's 1533-position model. The record is from RNAcentral.